This is a long non-coding RNA of Carya illinoinensis, 629 nucleotides long. RefSeq lists it as uncharacterized. The transcript has 3 exons. NCBI's taxonomy places the organism in Eukaryota, Viridiplantae, Streptophyta, Magnoliopsida, Fagales, Juglandaceae. The record is from RefSeq and is a predicted model, not a curated record.
CGCCGCUAUCCACUUCUUCCCUUUCUUUUCCCCUUAUUUUCGUUCUUUUUCUCUUCUAUUUUGGCUGCUGCUGUUGCUUCUCCUUGCUUCUUCUUCUCUUCAUUUCUUUUGUUUUCUCUCAUUUUCUUCUUCUCCUGUUGCGCCGGCUGUUCUUCUCCUACAUUGGACAAUUUUCUGCUUCAUCUUCAACCACUGUGCCGAACUCCUCCUCCAUUUCAUUCGGGUGAAUCCGUGGGUCAUGCUCUGUUUCUGGCCUCACUUUCAUGCUCGGUUUCCUCUAGCAUUUUCGUGAUUCAAGCUUAUGGUUUAUUCCCUUUCAUUUCCAGUUGUUUGGCCCCUUUUUGUGCUCUAUUGAAGCCAAACCCGUGCCCCUGUUUUGACCCCACGCUAUGACGAAGAGGCUGAACCCAAGGAAGCAGCUUUGUCGAAUGACUAAAUUGGUGGCUUUUGCUUGCUUUUAUUGGGAAUUAGUUCCCUGCUUUUUAAUUAUGUAUUUUGGAUUUUUAUGACGUUGUUAUUGGAUAUUUGUAACAUUUUUGUUAUGCUUGUAUUUAAGCGAGUUUGUAUUUUAACAAUUCUGGUACUUAGUUGACUGAUUUUAAUUAUCCACUGCGUUGUUUUGUUGUACA